This 466-nucleotide ribosomal RNA is filed under the name uncultured bacterium. RNAcentral's name for it is "partial 16S ribosomal RNA". It matches the Rfam family "Bacterial small subunit ribosomal RNA", at positions 28 to 505 of the family's 1533-position model. The record is from RNAcentral.
GACGAACGCUGGCGGCGUGCUUAACACAUGCAAGUCGAACGGAAAGGCCCUGCUUUUGUGGGGUGCUCGAGUGGCGAACGGGUGAGUAACACGUGAGUAACCUGCCCUUGACUUUGGGAUAACUUCAGGAAACUGGGGCUAAUACCGGAUAGGAGCUCCUGCUGCAUGGUGGGGGUUGGAAAGUUUCGGCGGUUGGGGAUGGACUCGCGGCUUAUCAGCUUGUUGGUGGGGUAGUGGCUUACCAAGGCUUUGACGGGUAGCCGGCCUGAGAGGGUGACCGGCCACAUUGGGCCUGGGAGCCGGCCCAGCCCCCCCCGGGGGGCAGCAGGGGGGAAUUUUGCACAAGGGGCGGCGGCCUGAGCCAGCACCGCCGGGUGGGGGAUGGCGGCCUUCGGGUUGUAAACCGCUUUCGCCGGUGACGAAGCGUGAGGGCGGGUAUGGGGUAAAGAACCCCCGGCUUACUACG